UUAAUAUACUAUUGUUGUAUGGUUUUUACUUUAACUGUCAGUUGUGUUGCAUGUGCUUUUAUCUGUCACAUUUUUAGAUAUGCAGCCUCAGUGGAUGACAUCUGGGAAGAAGAGGAACGUUAUAAAGACCAACUGAGAGAGCAUCUUCUCUGUGCUGAAGCUCUAUGAUACUUUUUCUCAUUACCAGCUGUGUUGUGUUUAAUGUUGUUGAAUAUUGAAAGCGUACAAAAUAUUUUAAUUUCAGUGGCCUCCCUAGCUUCAUUAAGCUUCAAUGUGAUUUAUAAUUCCCGAGAAUAUCAUUGUCUCUGAUGUCCAGAAGUUCAGAAUACCUGAAGCUGACAUUACAGCCCUUUUAAGGAGCUCAUUUGUCUUCUUUGUGGGUUCCCAGAGAGAAGAUAUGAGGUGUUGGUGGAGGAGCAGCAGACUGGGUGGAGACGAGGACAUCAAGAGAACAAUGGAGGAGCAGCUGGAGAACCACAGGGGAGCUAAUCAGAAGCAGCUCAGACGCCUCCGAGACGAGAUCUAAGACAAACAGAGGAUGCUGGAGGAACUCAGAGUUAGGAAACACCAGAACUCUCUCUUUGAGGCCAUCUUCUGGGGGAGUGUUUUCAGGGAGCACACCUGAAACUUCAGCCACAGGUCUCCAGCUGAUUUCAAUUAGAUUUCAAAACAACCAAGUGCCAGAGAAGAGAGAGGGGAG
This is a long non-coding RNA of Sebastes umbrosus (honeycomb rockfish), 700 nucleotides long. RefSeq lists it as uncharacterized. The record is from RefSeq and is a predicted model, not a curated record. The transcript is spliced from 3 exons. NCBI's taxonomy places the organism in Eukaryota, Metazoa, Chordata, Actinopteri, Perciformes, Sebastidae.